Molecule: RNA transcript, 3368 nt
Organism: Panicum virgatum (switchgrass)
Lineage: Eukaryota; Viridiplantae; Streptophyta; Magnoliopsida; Poales; Poaceae
Gene name: wall-associated receptor kinase 5-like
Exons: 6
Source: RefSeq, a predicted model, not a curated record
GCCCAUUAGUCACCGUAGAUUUUGCGUUCUAACGGUUUUUUCCCUCUCUUUUUCCUCUUUUCCAAAGAUGCGCACACACUAUACAAACUCCUCUGCCCUUAUAUCUGAUGAAAAAAGAGCCUUUGUCUACAACUCUGCCUACUUCAAAAGACUCCUACCUGUGGAGCAGAGGCCAGGGAGAUUGAGAGAAAUGAGCCUCUUCGACGCACUACUUCCUCUGCUCCUACUUGCGUUCACUGCAAUUCCAGCAGCGAAAGCCUCCUCCGGCGGCGGCAAUACCAGCCAUCCAUCCGCUGCGUCGCUCACCGAUUGCCAACGGAGCUGCGGGAAUCUCACCUUCGACUACCCCUUCGGCAUCGGCUCACCCCGCUGCUUCCGUGACCCCGACUUCAAGCUCAUCUGCAACAACACAACACAAGGCCCCAAGCUCUUCCUCAAUGACGGCAUAACUGAGAUCCUUGAUGAUUUAGAUAUCCCAUAUACAGGAAUCGAAGUAUCCUUUUCAUAUUCUGUUGCCAUGAUAUCUGGUCUCAACGAAUACAACAAGUCAUGGAAAGCUCCAGGGAGACAUUUCAGCUUUGCAUACAUCAACCUGAACAUCACUGGCUGUGACUUUGAUGCAUACCAGCUGCUAGAUAACCCAGACACAAAUCAGCUGCUGCUCUGUUCUGUUACCUGCCCUAACAAAGAAAUCACGGAGACCGUUGCUAGGCAGGACUGUAACGGUACCGGAUGUUGCUCCAUCAUAGUCCCCGUCCGUGCCAACGCCUUUCAGCUCAAGUUUGUCCGGAAGGACAAGGGGCAGCUCCCUUACCGAAGCUCUCUCUGGGACAGAAUCAAUGUAACUACUGUCUUUGCAGGCAUUACAUGGAGCAUGUUGGAUCAGCCAACCUGCGCUAGCACCUUGGUUAAUAAUACCAACUAUGCAUGUGUCAGCAACCACAGCAUGUGUUUCAAUGAUUAUUACACAAUUGAUCAUGGUUAUAAUUGCCGCUGUACUAAUGGGUACGAAGGCAAUCCUUACUUAGUCGAUGGCUGCAAGCGUGAUGAAGGCUAUACUCCAUUUGCACGAAAGCUUAACUGUUCUCAACUGUGUGGGAACAUCAGUGUUCCUUUUCCAUUCGGUCUAGAAGACGGGUGUUCGGCAAGGAAGCUAUUUCUGCUCAACUGCACGAAUGUGUCCACAUCCAGUCUCCAGUUGAAUGAUGAAUAUCGUGUGACAUAUAUAAAUGUUAGCGAAGGCCUUGUGGGUAUUGAAGACACCUCAUAUUUCAGGGAGGAGAUGUAUGGGGUUUAUAUACCAAAUGAGCCUGAACUCUAUAUUGGUUCAGGUGAAUCGGCAUCUAUGCAAUGGGCCGUUGCCAAUCUAACUUGUCAAGAGGCGCAACAGAACAAGUCAGGAUAUGCAUGUGUAAGCAACAAUAGCACAUGCUUGGGCGUCAAUUCAACACGUAGUUAUAUUGGAUACCGAUGCACAUGUACAUCAGGUUUUCAAGGAAAUCCAUACAUCCUAAAUGGAUGUGAAGAUAUUAAUGAGUGCAAAAUAGCAGGCAUUUGCAAAGGUGUAUGCCAUAACACUAUAGGAAGUUACGACUGCACUGAGUGUCCUUACAAAACACAGUAUGAUACUAUGACAAUGAAGUGCAUCUCAACAAGAAAGCAAAAUCUUCUAGUAGGUAUUCUCAUAGGGCUUAGUGGUGGCUUCAGCUUUCUACUUCUCAGCUUAUGUGGGGUCUUUCUCUGCCGUAAAUGGAAACGGGACAUUCAAAAGCAGCUACGUAGGACGUAUUUUAGAAAGAACCAAGGACUUCUCCUAGAACAAAUAAUAUCAUCAGAUGAAAAUGCCAGUGACAAGACAAAGAUUUUCUCUUUGGAGGAGCUAGAAAAGGCAACAAAUAACUUUGAUCCAACACGUAUCCUUGGUCAUGGAGGGCAUGGCAUGGUGUAUAAGGGUAUUCUAACUGAUCAACGCGUGGUGGCGAUAAAAAGGUCUAAGAACAUUGAGGAAGGUGAGAUCAGUCAAUUUAUUAAUGAGGUAGCAAUUCUCUCUCAAAUAAAUCACAGAAAUAUAGUAAAGCUUUUUGGGUGUUGUCUAGAAACUGAGGUCCCGCUGUUGGUGUAUGACUUCAUUUCAAAUGGUUCAUUAUUUGGAAUUCUACAUUCGGAUCCAAGUAGUGGUUUCUGUUUGUCAUGGGAUGACUGCCUAAGAAUUGCUGCAGAAGCUGCAGGAGCUCUUUACUAUCUCCACUCAGCAGCUUCAGUCUCAGUCUUCCAUCGUGACGUGAAGUCCUCUAAUAUACUGUUAGAUUCAAAUUAUACGGCAAAAGUUUCAGACUUUGGUGCCUCUAGAUUGGUUCCUAUUGAUCAAACCCAUGUUGUUACAAAUGUUCAAGGCACAUUUGGAUAUUUAGAUCCAGAGUAUUACCACACUGGGCAGCUAAACGAGAAAAGUGACGUAUAUAGUUUCGGUGUGGUACUUGUGGAACUACUUCUGAGAAGGGAGCCUAUUUUUACAAAUGAGACAGGUUCAAAGCAGAACUUAUCUAACUACUUUCUUUGGGAAUUAAAAGCAAGGCCAAUUAAAGAGAUAGUGGCCACUCAGGUUCGUGAGGAAGCAACUGAGGAAGAGAUUAUAAGUGUUGCCUCUCUUGCGGAGAUGUGUUUGAGACUCGACAGUUCAGAGAGACCUACUAUGAAGCAAGUUGAGAUGAGUUUGCAGUUCUUGCGAACAAAAAGGUCAAACUCACGCCGCAUUGUUCAAGAUACUGCUGAAGAGGCGCAACCGUUGCUAUCUACAAGAGCUGAAUCUAGAUAUGAGACGUUUGCUAUUAGCUUGGGUGAAAGUUAUAAUUCAGAAUAUUGCUACAGCCAAAGAUUCAAUAGCUUGGAGCAUGACUUAGAAUCAUCUCCCGGGGUGCCAUGCUAAGGGGCUCUGCACUGUGAAAAUGCCACUAAAACUUCAUAGGAAAAGAUUUUAUGAGGCAUCUAUGCUGGGUAUUGAUUCCAAUAGCACAUGAAACGUUCCCAAAGUGGGAAAGUACAUAUGUCAUUAAUUAAUUUGCUAUCAUCAAAGAUGCACGUAUCCAAUCCAUAAUUUGUACCCCUGUAGGCCACUAAUGGGACUUUGUCCUAGCCCUUGACUCUAUGCAUUGACAUGGGAGUCGAUCUGGGUCCAACUGGAGUUUGGUUUCAGCAAACCGGUAAGGUCCUCAGCCUCUGCUCGAACUGCCACCCAUGUCUGGUAAGCCUUGAGUUAUGGCUGCCUCGGUGUAACAUCCAUUGGGUUGCAGUUUCUUAGAAGCUGGAGAAAUUAUAGGAACCAAUAAUCGGUAACUCUUAAACUUCGAACAUGAUUAGUGUUGAUGGAG